UUAGUCUAUCUGAAGAACGCCGUUGAGAGACUACACCGCCCAUGAAACCCUGCAGUAUAACCUUGAAGUACCAUCACGGAGAGAAACAGUGCCAUCUCAGGGCCAGUGGCGCAAUGGAUAACGCGUCUGACUACGGAUCAGAAGAUUCCAGGAGCCAAUGACCAAUAGGCCAGAGCACUGGAGACUUUCUGGAAGAAAGAGGUACUGAAGCAUCCAAUAUGGAAAUAGUCAAGAUAUAGAAAAUGCAAGCUCUUGAAGGAUUCAAGAUAUAGAAAGGAUCUGAGAUAUGGAAAGAACUCAGGAUAUAGAAGGAUCUGAAAUUUUGGAGACUAAGAUAUGAGAAUAUUUAAGACACAGGUAGGAAGGACACCUUCAAGGAAUUUGCUGGCUACCCUUAUUUUUAUAAUAUGCUUGCUAACAUCAGCAUGGGAGCAUCUUGAGUUUUUAGCCUACUACACAAGCAGAUAUUGAACCAACAUUAACAGGAAUUAGUGUAGUCUGUUUUCCAAUAAGAGAGUGUUCAAGGAUCUUCAUGUAUUCCAGUUUCCUCAGAAACACAUGCUUCUGUGAGGAAAACCAUACUGGGGAAACUUAUAAAUCCUUUUUUUUUUUUUUUUUUGGAGUCUUGCUCUGUUGCCCAGGCUGGAGUACAGUGGCACGAUCUCAGCUCACUGCAAGCUCCGCCUCCCAGGUUCACACCAUUCUCCUGCCUCAGCCUCUGGAGUAGCUGGGACUACAGGUACCCACCACCACGCCCAGCUAAUUUUUCGUAUUUUUAGUAGAGACAGGGUUUCACCGUGUUAGCCAGGAUGGUCUCGAUCUCCUGACCUCGUGAUCCACCCACCUCAGCCUCCCAAAGUGCUGGGAUUACAGGUGUGAGCCAAUAAAUGCUUUUUACUAGAAAAGGCAAGAACCUGGAUAAGACCUCUCUGGAUAAAUCAUCAAACCUUUUGCAAGUGGCUACUCUUACCUUGUUGAAGUAUUUCCAUCCCUUCUCCAGGUGAGCAGAAAUCCCCGGAUGCCAUUUGAUUUUCUUGGGAUUCUAAUCUGUGGAACCAAGAAGUGAAAGAAAACAAAAAGAUGAAUAAACAGCUGGCUGCUCCAAGGACACUACCUUAUGUUCAAAUUUCUGCUGUCCACAAGCUGGAAAGGAACCUCAAGGAUGACUUUUACAGAGGGCCUAUACCACACAUCCUGGGUCCCAAGCUCUUACACAAGCUUUAUGGACAAACAGAUUUACAAGUGCCAAAACAUGUCACAUUCUAAGCACACAUGUGUUUCCACUUGCUCCAAGCUGUCCAAAAGGAGCAUCCUAAAAAGAGAACUUUCCAAUUCACUGAGUCUAAACAAGAGGAUUCUCCACCACCACCACCAUUAUGCCAAAGUUAAAACUGAGCUGCAGCUUCCCAGUUAUGAGUGAACUGGGGGAAAAGGGAAAAAAAUCAAAGUCUACUUUUUCCCCCCAAAUAACUCAGCUAUCAAAUUCCAUAAUAGUUUUUUUGUGCUUCUUUUUUUGUCUAAGAUCUGUUGGUAGUUUUUUUUUUUUUUAUCAUUAACUCUAGAAUCAUCCUUCAGGAAUGACAAAUCAUUCCACACUUGAACAACUGGUUUUCACAUAACAGCCUAAGAAAAGAGCACCUGGAGGAAACAGCGUGACAAGAAGACUGACAGUGAGGUCAGUGGCAAAAGAGUAAUGCAAAGGUGUAAUGUGGCUACAACGAGAACGUGAGCUGUGGGUGUUUUGCCAGAACAUGGAGUGCGCUGAAAGGAAUGACACCAACACAGGGGCAGUAAAGAUGGGCACAGUUUGACCUCAGGAGACAAAAAUUUUCCCUUGACAUUACUUUUCAUGUUUUUGCUCUGCCCCUCCUCUCUGCAAGGUAUCAAACUCCAAAGGGCAACUGAGCCUCCCAAAGCUGAACAGGCAUUGAAGGUUAUUAUGAUUUAACGCUUCAUGUUUAUAGAACAUUUGGUUUACUCGAUCGUUUUAUGAGUAACAUCAAAGUAACUACUCAUUUGUUUUCUAACAUGGUCUAGAGGGGGACGCAGCUGAGGAGGCAGAAUGCUGGGACUUAAUUUGCAGCUCGGCCGGCCGUUGCUUCUGAGAACUUAAGGAAAAUGCUUUUUUCUGUGCCAAACUUUUCCCACCUGCAAAACUGAGAUAACGAUUCCUGCCUUGGAUGAGACAUUAAGAAUUAAUAACACAAUCGACUUGUCAACAAAAGCCACUACUUAGUUAAGUUCAGUGUUUUAACAAUUCUGUUUAUCGUUGAUCUAUGACUGCAAAUAAAAAGUUUUGCAGGCAAAUUUCGCACUUGGAAAUGAAGACCAACCCAAAUUCCAAAAAGCUAGCUGUUCGUCCCCCCCUAGGGUAAGUGUCCCCUUGCGUUUUUUAGGGUGCCUUUCUUUACCCUUCUUAAAGGUUACAGGGCGUGAACGGCAAUCAGGCUCGAUUCUCCACCCUCUGCACUCAGACGUGUUAAAACGCUGCUACAGGGACCCAAGCAUUUAAAUGUUCUGACUCAGGCGUCUUUUAAAUUCUUAGAGCUGUCUUUACACGCUGCACUGAACGUUAAAUUGAUUUUACAGGUUAUUUUCACAAGAUAUGACCCUUACAGGGCCCGAGAUGAAUCAAAAUGCAGAACGGGCUCUCCGGCGCCUACUUCCCUUCUGUCUGGGCGGCCAAGGAUUCCCA
Molecule: long non-coding RNA, 2695 nt
Filed under: Homo sapiens (human)
Lineage: Eukaryota; Metazoa; Chordata; Mammalia; Primates; Hominidae
Description: HSALNT0208185
Source: RNAcentral